This is an RNA transcript of Candoia aspera, 3742 nucleotides long. It is a transcript of the gene named RB binding protein 5, histone lysine methyltransferase complex subunit, with no coding region annotated. The record is from RefSeq and is a predicted model, not a curated record. The transcript has 15 exons. Lineage: Eukaryota; Metazoa; Chordata; Lepidosauria; Squamata; Candoiidae.
ACCCCUUCGGAUGAGGGCCUCUGGGUCCUUGCGACCGAAGCGGGAUCGGACGGAAGAAGAGUGUGGGCAAGAUGAACCUGGAGCUGCUCGAAUCCUUUGGGCAGAACUAUCCAGAGGAAGCUGAUGGCACAUUGGACUGUAUUAGUAUGGCUCUUACAUGUACUUUUAACAGAUGGGGCACUCUUCUAGCAGUGGGUUGUAAUGAUGGCCGAAUUGUCAUUUGGGAUUUCUUGACAAGGGGCAUUGCAAAAAUAAUAAGUGCCCAUAUUCACCCAGUUUGUUCAUUAUGUUGGAGUCGAGAUGGUCACAAGUUAGUGAGUGCAUCAACUGAUAAUAUGGUGUCUCAGUGGGAUGUUUUGACUGGUGAUUGUGAUCAGAGGUUUCGUUUUCCUUCUCCUAUCCUGAAAGUCCAGUAUCAUCCCCGUGAUCAAAACAGAGUGUUAGUAUGCCCAAUGAAAUCUGCCCCAGUAAUGCUAACAUUGUCUGAUUCAAAGCACGUUGUCCUACCAGUGGAUGAUGAUUCUGAUCUCAAUGUGGUGGCUUCUUUUGACCGGCGAGGGGAAUAUAUCUAUACAGGGAAUGCUAAAGGGAAGAUCUUGGUGUUAAAGACAGACACUCAGGAUCUUGUUGCUUCCUUUAGAGUGACAACAGGAACCAGCAACACUACAGCUAUUAAAUCUAUAGAGUUUGCUCGAAAAGGAAGUUGCUUUCUCAUAAAUACUGCUGAUCGCAUAAUCAGAGUUUAUGAUGGCCGGGAAAUCUUGACCUGUGGUAGAGAUGGGGAACCAGAACCAAUGCAAAAACUACAGGAUUUGGUGAACAGGACACCUUGGAAGAAAUGCUGUUUCUCUGGUGACGGAGAGUACAUUGUUGCAGGGUCAGCACGUCAGCAUGCUCUGUACAUAUGGGAGAAAAGUAUUGGCAACCUUGUGAAAAUCCUGCAUGGCACUAGGGGGGAACUCUUGCUGGAUGUUGCAUGGCAUCCUGUCCGACCAAUCAUUGCUUCUAUUUCCAGUGGAGUGGUAUCCAUAUGGGCACAAAAUCAAGUGGAAAACUGGAGUGCCUUUGCACCUGAUUUUAAAGAGCUGGAUGAAAAUGUAGAAUAUGAAGAGCGGGAGUCUGAAUUUGACAUAGAAGAUGAAGAUAAGAGUGAGCCAGAACAGACAGGUGCUGAUGCUGCAGAAGAUGAGGAAGUGGAUGUAACUAGUGUAGACCCCAUUGCAGCUUUUUGUAGCAGCGAUGAAGAAUUGGAAGACUCUAAAGCUUUACUCUACUUGCCUAUUGCUCCUGAGGUGGAAGACCCAGAGGAAAAUCCCUACGGGCCUCCACCAGAUGCAGUUCAGACUGCUUUACCUGAUGAAGCAAUAGGCACUGAGAAGAAGCGUCAGUCUUUGUCCGAUGGACCUCAGCCUCCAAAGAAGAAACCUAAAACAACCAACAUAGAAUUGCAGGGAGUACCCAAUGAUGAAGUCCAUCCACUGCUGGGUGUAAAAGGAGAUGGUAAAUCCAAGAAGAAGCAAGCAGGGAGGCCUAAAGGAUCAAAAGGUAAAGAGAAAGAUUCUCCAUUUAAACCGAAACUCUACAAAGGGGACAGAGGUUCUUUACCUCUGGAAGGAGCAGCGAAGGGUAAAGUGCAGGCGGAGCUGGGACAGCCUUUGCCAGAACAUUGUUUCAGUAGCCUGUGGGAUCCUCCUGGCAGUCUCUGGUAAACUUUAGAUGGAUGGCAGCAUGCCUUCUGGAGAGUAGUUGGUUUUCAUGGUUGGUAUCGUCCAUGCAUACCAGUCUUGUUCUUAUGGUGGAUUUAUGAAUACUGACCUCAGACAAUGCAAAAGAUGUAUCCAGAUACUUUGAAGUUACUCUAGGAUUCUUCUGCUUUUUGUUGGACAGCCGCAAAGUAAUAAAGGUGCUGCAUUUUCUUCAUUUAUAAACUAUUUACUUGAUUAUUGAUGGAUGGAGGCCAGAAUUUUUGGCAAUAUGGUAAGCCUUUUCUACCUCAGGAGUAUCAACAAUCCAUUUACUGAGGUUCACAGACAUCUGUUUUGAUUGGGGCAUUAUUUACUUCCACAAACCUGUGCCAUGAAGAGCAAACCCCAAUGGUGGCAAUCAACAUAUGUAUGGUUUUAUUUUUGUGGAGGAGGGCCUCAAAACCUCAAACCUGAUAGCCAUAUCAUUGAUAGGAAUAUCGGAUGCUGCUUAAGAGACUGGAUUAUCCCAGAACUUCAGAUACUUUUUACAACAAAGACAGUGAAUAUUGGCUCAGUCUGUUUAAUGAAGACACGAUACAGCACACUAUACAGGUGGUGGAAUCUCAGAGUUGUUAUGAAAGCUUCCUUCCUCAUGCCCUCUUAUUUCUCAUUUUGGCAUCGUAACAUGGAAUAAGAACAAAUGUUCAGUCAGAUAAUGGACUGCCUUUAUGUGGGAAAGAUAUCUGACUAGACUGCCUGCAUCUCCAGGGAACAAUUUUUGCAAAUUAUGGAACAGGAACAUUUUUUCACCCCAGUCCUUUCUUUUUACUAACAGUAAACGGACAAGGAAAGAUUUGUGCAAAAUCUGAUGGGAAAGAGCUGUUUUUUGCCCAUAAUCUUCUUAGAAUUCCCUAAAGUACAAGGUCUGGAACAAGAUAAGAAGGUAUCUUGCUUGUAUAUUGAGUCCUGUGUUAGUUUAUGUUACAUGGCUUAAUUCUUGAGAGAAAAAUGCUGGAGACCUAUUGAGUUCUGGCAUAAUGCUAUUGCAUUGUGACUGGCUAAAGCAAAUUACUCUGAGCAUUUGUUCGUUUGUUUCUCUUAAUCAUACUGAAUUGGAAAUGCAGUUAGUGCUUAGCUUCCUGUCCUACAGCUGUGAUACGUUGUGAAUUGAUUCAGUUUUCAAAUGGGCUGUUGAAGUCCAGAUGACUCUGAUGUAUAAGAACAAGAACUGUUUCUCCAAGGGAGAAAAAGAGCAUAGAAAAAAGUGAGUAGACUGAGCAAAAACAUGAGUGACUCUUGUUUCUUCUCCCCAUGUUUUAUCCACAUCCAGAGAUGCUUGUUUCCCGACCCCUUCAGGGUUCUAGUGAGAACAAACAUUUCCCUAGAUUCUGUAGAGGAAGUAUAUAAAAAUGGAAAACACAGACUUCUGUUAAAUGAUUUCAUUUGUUCACAUGCUCAGAAAACAAUUUAAGGAUGUGAAUGUUGAUCCUCGGUCUAUUUUAGAAAAUAGGCCUCUGAUUCAGGAGAUUUAAAUGAUGACAGCAAUGUCUUCAAAAUAUAGCUAAAGGAUAUACAGGCAAUUCACAUAGUCUUACAUCUAUAGAAUGGAAAAAUAAGUUUUAAAUACGCUUUUUAGUUUAAUUGUUUUGUUUUCUGUAUAAUGUCCUGUGGUAUGUUUCUUCUAAGGAUAUCCUGAGUUGAAAUCUUACAUUUUGUAUAUUAUUAUUUAUGCAAUCCUUACUUCUAGGAUUUUAUGCAACCUUCCCUUAUAUAAUCUGGUCACCCACAGCUUUCCAGUCCAUAUGAAGAAUGAUAGAAAGGUUGCUUGGAUAAUUGCUGUUGUAUUGUUUAUGUGGUAUUAUGAAUUCAAGCCAGACCUGCAGUUUUCUCCAGUUUAAUGUGCUGUUUUAUUUUUCAGUUUUCUAUUAUUAUUAUUUUUGUUACUAUUAUAGUUUGUACAGAACUUGAAAAAUAAUAAUUGCUUUGUAGCUACUGUAAAGUAUUGCUGUGAUGUUAGCUUCUCUAUUUGUAAAUAAAGAGAUGUUUUAUUUCCUAAA